GGGCCCGCACAAGCGGUGGAGUAUGUGGUUUAAUUCGAUGCAACGCGAAGAACCUUACCAGGGUUUGACAUCCUGCGAAUUUCUGGGAAACCGGAAAGUGCCUUCGGGAGCGCAGUGACAGGUGGUGCAUGGCUGUCGUCAGCUCGUGUCGUGAGAUGUUGGGUUAAGUCCCGCAACGAGCGCAACCCACGUCUUUAGUUGCCAGCAUUUAGUUGGGCACUCUAGAGAGACCGCCGGUGAUAAACCGGAGGAAGGUGUGGAUGACGUCAAGUCAUCAUGCCCCUUACAUCCUGGGCUACACACGUACUACAAUGCUACGGACAAAGAGCAGCAAGUUCGCGAGGACAAGCAAAUCUCAUAAACCGUGGCUCAGUUCAGAUCGUAGGCUGCAACUCGCCUACGUGAAGGAGGAAUCGCUAGUAAUCG
RNAcentral lists this ribosomal RNA (426 nucleotides) under uncultured bacterium. Its description in RNAcentral is "bacterial SSU rRNA". It matches the Rfam family "Bacterial small subunit ribosomal RNA", at positions 917 to 1344 of the family's 1533-position model. The record is from RNAcentral.